ACCGUCUCAUCGAUUUGAAUAAUAGACGACUGCUUGACAUCAUAGGAUAUCUCUGUAUGCACUGCCCGCAGCAUCUAAACUGAUAAGGUGAGCCACGAGCGUAAAGGGCAGACAAGCCAGCACAACGAGGAGGUCUGCAAAGGCCAAAUUGACCAGGAAUAAAUUUGUGACGCAUCGGCGCAUAGUCCGACUUCCACGCAAAACCACUACGGCCACAAGGAUAUUCCCUGAAAAACAAAAGAGGAUCACUUGUCAUUCAAAGAAAAAAAAAAGUCCGGCGCAGAAGACGAGGCCGUACACUGUGCAAAGAGCUCCACUUACCCACACAUUAUAUCGAUACCAUGGCUGAAGCGGCAAUUCCGGCCAAUCGGUUCCGUUUGCUGGAUGAAUAUCCAUCAGCACCAGGUAGUCCAUCUCGGACCGUUCGCUCUGGAUGUACUGAAUUGAACCCAACAUCUCCGGUGAGACAAGGGGAUGUAAUCUUUCGAAGAAUCCACACCCCAAGAUGUGACAGAGCCCCGAAAAAGUUGAACGGAUCAUGUCAGAUUGACAAAGAACAAAGCCUUCGAAAACCAUAUCUUGGAAAUAGCCAAGAAACUUUAAUGGAGCGAGCGGAGAAAGUGGGUCGAUGUCACUAGACUGCACAACUUUCAACAAGGCCUCCUAAGGGAGGUCAACUCCGUAAAAUGUCACUUCAAGUGCCAUCGUGCCAAAGUUACUUUUCGUAUUCUGACGUCAUACAACCCUAAACAAGAAUGAUAAUGGCAACUCCAAAAGACGUUCCUCUAGCUUGCCAUUGAGAGGAUAUGCUAAUGGAAAAGCUCACAUUCAUCAUCCCUGUUAAGGUUAUUAAGCUGCGAAUUUAACCAAGUUUGGUAAUCAAGCACGCCGAACUGCACCUUAUUUGUGACUUUAGGAUAAUGCGUAAUUCAAAAACGAGCGUUUUCAGGCGGCAGAUGGAGCUGACAUUUUAACAGCUUGCCAUUACGAGGACAUGGAGGACGCGCGAGUUUGGCUAAAGAUAUUCCCCCCCCCUUCAUUUAGAUUACUCCCAAAUUACAGUAUUCUGGCCCUAGGGAUGGUGGAUCCUUCGUAUUGCUUACUGAUGAGCACUUGCGUUCAAAGUUGCAGCAGAAGACUUCCCAAUGCUGUUUUGGUUUGAAUCUUUUAGAAUUUUAUUCUUAUUUUAAUGUUAUUUACUCUUCCGAGG
This is a long non-coding RNA of Daphnia carinata, 1210 nucleotides long. RefSeq lists it as uncharacterized. The transcript is spliced from 8 exons. NCBI's taxonomy places the organism in Eukaryota, Metazoa, Arthropoda, Branchiopoda, Diplostraca, Daphniidae. The record is from RefSeq and is a predicted model, not a curated record.